This 628-nucleotide ribosomal RNA is filed under the name Candida tropicalis. RNAcentral's name for it is "partial large subunit ribosomal RNA". It matches the Rfam family "Eukaryotic large subunit ribosomal RNA", at positions 65 to 722 of the family's 3401-position model. The record is from RNAcentral. Lineage: Eukaryota; Fungi; Ascomycota; Pichiomycetes; Serinales; Debaryomycetaceae.
CCAAGGGNAUGCCUUAGUAGCGGCGAGUGAAGCGGCAAAGCUCAAAUUUGAAAUCUGGCUCUUUCAGAGUCCGAGUUGUAAUUUGAAGAAGGUAUCUUUGGGUCUGGCUCUUGUCUAUGUUUCUUGGAACAGAACGUCACAGAGGGUGAGAAUCCCGUGCGAUGAGAUGAUCCAGGCCUAUGUAAAGUUCCUUCGAAGAGUCGAGUUGUUUGGGAAUGCAGCUCUAAGUGGGUGGUAAAUUCCAUCUAAAGCUAAAUAUUGGCGAGAGACCGAUAGCGAACAAGUACAGUGAUGGAAAGAUGAAAAGAACUUUGAAAAGAGAGUGAAAAAGUACGUGAAAUUGUUGAAAGGGAAGGGCUUGAGAUCAGACUUGGUAUUUUGUAUGUUACUUCUUCGGGGGUGGCCUCUACAGUUUAUCGGGCCAGCAUCAGUUUGGGCGGUAGGAGAAUUGCGUUGGAAUGUGGCACGGCUUCGGUUGUGUGUUAUAGCCUUCGUCGAUACUGCCAGCCUAGACUGAGGACUGCGGUUUAUACCUAGGAUGUUGGCAUAAUGAUCUUAAGUCGCCCGUCUUGAACCACGGACCAAGGAGUCGAACGUCUAUGCAUAUCCAUAAGCGGAGGCGGAGGAU